GAAGCAGAAAUCUGAGCCGCUUGCUGCUGAGCCAUCUGCAUACGCUUGUAGCAGAUCUCCUGAGCUGAGACUCUCUUGUUUGGCCGCGCCACAGUCGGAGAGUCAGUCUGGGCUAUUCUGUGCUCACCCCUCCUGACUGACUUAAACUGCCUCAUGACAGCAUUGAAGGACAGAGAAAGAGCAGAUCCGCAAACACUCCUCCAUGGGAUCUGAGUCAAAGUCCAGAUCAUCCUGGAAACUAGAGAAGUCGAUUGCAACAUCGUUGACCUCGUCGUUACCUGCCACACCGCGGUCAC
Cyclopterus lumpus (lumpfish) is the source of this 296-nucleotide long non-coding RNA. RefSeq lists it as uncharacterized. Lineage: Eukaryota; Metazoa; Chordata; Actinopteri; Perciformes; Cyclopteridae. The transcript is spliced from 3 exons. The record is from RefSeq and is a predicted model, not a curated record.